Anolis carolinensis (green anole) is the source of this 7449-nucleotide long non-coding RNA. RefSeq lists it as uncharacterized. The record is from RefSeq and is a predicted model, not a curated record. The transcript has 4 exons. NCBI's taxonomy places the organism in Eukaryota, Metazoa, Chordata, Lepidosauria, Squamata, Anolidae.
UCUGGGAGCUGAAGUUCUAGGCGCCUGCCUUUUCUAAAGAUGGCGGCCUGGCGCGUUCUCGCCAAUGGACUUUCUGAGUGCCGCUGAGGGAGGAGUUUCAGGAGGCGUGUGCGAAGAAAGCCGCCGUUCCAUUGGGCCUUUUUUUUUUAACUUCCUAGAACGUACUGUAAGAGCUUCGUGGCUGGCAUGACUUCUCGACGCUUCCGCUUCCGGGAGAAGAGAUAUAGGAAAAAGGAACACGAGCGCGGUUCAAAAGCAACAACAGGCAGAACAUUGGGAUUUUAGUGAUGUUAAGAAUGGUUUUACUGAUGCUUUGUUAGGGUUGAAAUGAAGUGUUCCAUUGGGAUGAGGAAUUUUCUUCAAAGCAAGGCUUCUCCGGCUCACAUGAAUCUGCCAAUGUGGAAAGAGUAAAUAAAAAGGUUAUUGUACAGCAGAAAUGGAAAAUGUCCCUUCAGAUACUGUGGAAUGCAGCUUCCAUCAUCCUUUAACUUUGGGUUUGCUGUCUUGGAAUGCUGGGAGGUGCAGUCCAACAACAGAGCUCUCUGGAGAUGAAAGGGAGGAAGUGACAAUUUUCUCCAGCCAAGUUUGACAGGGUGUGAAUUGCUUUCUAAAUGAGCUGUUGCAUAGUCAGAACUCUUCUAACGGUCCCGUGAUGAAUAAAACACGGCAUAAAAGAACCCAAAUCUUCUAGCAGCUUCUUAUAUUGUUUUGCUCAAGGCAUUUAUAAAACUGGGAAAGCUAUUUCUUGAAGCGAUUCUUCAUGUAAUAAACACAUUAUGAACCUCAAAUUCUCUCUACAUUUUAAAAUGAUUAUUGCCUUUAUUUUUUUAAUUAUGGAGAGGGGGAAUGUAUCUAAGAAGAAAAUAACCAAAACAUGAAUAAAUCCUCAUAAGUGCUACCCUAACCCAAAUAAUGAGAAAAACCUGCCCAUUAACUUAAGGUAAAGUAACAGUUGUAAUAUAUCCAAAGGGAAUUCCAUGGUCUCUGUCAAAAAAAAGAACAUGCCAAAGCUACAAUAAUUAGAUAUACAUGUUAGUUCCAAGUUCUGAGCAUUCAUUACAUUGGGCAUUCAUUUCAUUUCCCCGUGUUAAUGUACUUUAUGAAUUAAUAAUUUUAUUGGAUCCCCUACAGAAUAGUACUGAAUGUUAGAUGGGGUCUGAUCAGAAUUGUCCCAAAGAAGAGCAUCCUGUUUAUUUGCUACGUACAGGGCAGCUACAGCCUCCUUGCUCUUCAAGAAGUUCCUCUCCUCACGUAAGGUAGUCUGGGUCAGCAAAUCCAGUUCGUCUUGAAUACUGGCCAGUUUCUCCUGGAGCAUUUUCUCUGAAAGGACAUUACAGCACAGUGGUGUCGUUUCAAAGCAAAUUGUGAUCAAAGUAAAGAAGUGCUAUCUGCUUUAGAAAUUUAUUAAGCUUGGGAGUAGAUAGUUAGAAAUAAUUUUCUUAAGAUAAAACCUUUUGAGUGUAAGCUAGCAAGGGAUAUUUUUUCUGCAAUAAAAUUGCAACUUAAAAAAAUACUUUAUCAUUAUGGGACAUGGCUUCAGUAAAUAGUUGAACUGGUUCAUGUUAUAUCUGAUGUUCUGUUGUAGGUACUGAGGCAACACCGAAGUGGAUGGGAGGAGUACUGUAUGUCCUUUUAAUACAGGACGGAGGCUAUAGCAUUCAGAAUCUUAAAAAAAAAAAAAUCAGGCAACACCAGAAUUUUGAGAAAUAUAAGAAUACUUGCUUUUUAAAAAUUGCCAAGUGUAGUAUGUUACUCUUACAAUCAUAUAGCUGGAACCAGAUCUUUGAACUUUGCUCACUCUGGAAGUUACUAGUACAGUCGUCCCUCUACAUUGCAGUUUUGACUUUUGCAGAUUUGAUUACACUAUGUAACAAAAUUUGAAAAAAUAGUUCCUGGUUUGAAAGUGUUAUUUCCUGUUUAAUUGUGCCGUACUUACUUUGCAAGAACAAAGUUUUUUGCAGUUUAAUAAACUUUCCAUGUUUUUAUAAUAGACCCAAUUAGGAAGUGACAUGUAUAAUUCAGUAACAAAAAUAGUGUUACAUAAUGUUAUUUAUUGAUUUAACUUAAAUGUGCUUCCUUGGAUUCCCUGGGUCUAGUCCAGUGUUGCAUUAUGAUCAUAUUCUUCAAGUCAUGCUGAAGAAUCUAGAGAUUUCUGGAGAAAACACUAUUAGAGUCUCUAGGGCCUCCAAUAUGAUCAGCCUCCAGUAGAAAUUGACCAUAGGGUAUAUUGGGAGACCUAGAAAAGGUGUUCCCUGAAGUAAAAAAAAAAUAAUAGAAAUUUCUUCACUGUUUUUCACUUUCACAUGGGUUUUGUGCACCUAGCCUCAGAGAAUAUGGAGGGCUGACUGUACUACCGAAGAAUAGCAACAAAAGGAGUGUUUGAUAAUGCUAUAUAUGUGCUAUUUCUGUUCAGUGCUUACAACAUGUCUAGAUGUCAUGCAAUUGAUGGCCUUUUUUCUAACCAGUAGCUGAAACUUCACUCUUUCUAUGAACAACUUCUGUUACCACAAUGGUUUUGGCUACUUUUACAGACAGAGGGAAGCCUCUUUUAUGGUUUUUCUUUUUUAUUAAUUUUUAUUAAAACAGAUUAACAGAUAAACAGAUUAAAACAAAACCUACAAACAUACAAAAAACCCAAUAAAAAUUUAAAAAUUUAAAAUCACUGCAAUCUAUGUAAUCUAAGGGCUUUACAUUCUCUGUCUGGUAGUUAUAUUCUCUCAGUUUUCUAUACCCAUUUAGUGAGAAAGAAAAAUGUAUACAUCCUUUGCCCUUUCUUCUAAAACAGGAGUUGGAAAAGUUUUUUCUUGGUUUACAAGAAUGGUAUUAAAAUGUAAUCUACAUGCAUUCAUACUAGCUAUUAUAAGAAUAUAUGACACAUACACGGAUAGUACUUUGGAACCAGUCUCACUGGUUUGAUUAGCACAUGACUUCACUCAGACUGAUAUUGAACUUUGUCUCAUGCAAAGUGAAACCUCGGCACAUUUUUGUAAACCUCAGAUAACCUUCACUGAUGUAAUGAGAAAAUCAACAAGCACCUAUUUUGUUUUUACUACUAAGAGAAAGAACAGGAGAUUUUUAAGAAUAGUAAGUCCCAUCUGUAAGCCUGACAUGUGCCACAACAUCAAGGCUUGAAAUUUUACUUUUAAGAAGCACGGAUAUAAUGACAUGCUGAAUUCAUCGGCAACUGGGACUUGAAGAAACUCAUUCUGCCACUGCUUGAGAGUCUUACAGAAUUUGUCGUUUGAUGAGACAUCAGAUCUUUCUAGCAGUAAAUCUUGAAUCCAGCAACAACCUACUCUAGAAUUUGUCAUUUGGUGAGACACCAGAUCUUUCUGGCAGGAAAUCUUGAGCCCAGCAACAAACUACAAAGCAGUUUAGAUUCAUGGAAGCUGAAGUGGCACUGAAGUGCUACAAUUGUACAAAAAUGAGGAAAAAACCUCACAAGAGUAACCAUAUUUUUUUGAGCAACCAUAUUUUUCAAGCAACAAAAAAAAAACUAACAAAAUUUAAUAUUCCACAAUAAUUUGAUGCCCUUGUAUACUGCAUGAUGAUGGAUUAAAAAUAAUAUUUUUAGAAGAACCCUUGAUGAGUUAAGAAGUCCAAUAUGCUGCAACUUCUCACCUUCCUUCAGCAAACGUUCCUUACUGUCUUUCAUGUCAGCCACUGGUUGAUCCCUAGACUGAGAAGACAAGAAACAGAAUACAACAGAGAGGAAAAGGAACCAAGAAUCAUUUUUACCAUGAGGGACUUAAAUACAAGUGAUGCAAGGAGAUACAAAGAGAGCCAAGAAUUAUCUUGGAGGUUAAGAUCUUCUGGGGAGUCCCUGCUCUCGGUCCCACCUCUGUUGCAAGUGGGGUUAGUGGGGAUGAGAGACAGGGCCUUCUCAAUGGUGGCCUCUCAGCUGUGAAACAAUUGGUUUUAACAAUUGGUUUUUUUGGUUUUAAUGUUGUCUUUAUGUUUUUAAUUUUUUGGUUUUAAUGUAAUGUUUAUGGGUUGUAUGUUUGUGUGGCAUCUAAUGGUUGCCUAUUUGUAAGCCGCUCUGAGUUCCCUUUGGUGUGAGAAGGGUGGGGUAUAAGUGCAGUAAAUAAAUAAAUACUACUUUCUUUAGGUAGUGCAAAACAAGUUUUAAAACAUGUUAACCCAGUCACCUGGCUUCUAUCCUUACUCAGCAUUUUCUACAUUUCACACUUCUGAAUUUAGCCAUAAAGCACCAAAAUCUUUUUUUUCCUGCUACUUUCAGAUGGUUCCAUGUCAUUACUUUUUUCCAGAGCUAGUGGCAGAACUCAAGAACUUGAUUCUCAGAGUGAUUCCAAACCGGAGUCUCCGCUUAGGUUUCCUUUUUCUAUAACAUAACCAAAGAACCCCUUUUAUUAUUUUUAAUCUCCCUAGCUUACCUAAAAGUACUCACUUUUUGAUCUUUGAAACUGUCAGUUUUCAUGUGGCAAUAUGCAAAAUCAGCCUUACUAAAACAGCAUGAGAGCAGUAUAUAUCAAUACAAAAUAAGAAUCUUGCUCUUACAUAAAGUUCCCAAAGCCUCUUGUGCUUCUCCAUUAACUCCUCAAGAAGCUGCUCAAAUUCCAUUCUGAAAGUAGGAAAAAUGAGGAUAGAAGUAGAAGUAAAAAUGUUGCAAAGUAGAAAGUGGCACAUUCUCAUAGCCAGAAGAAUAAUGUUAUACUAAGGCCAAGAGCAUAACUUUUCCUACAGCAAGCAUUCACACAUGUCCUUGAGAAGUUGACAAGUAGAGGAAAAUUGAAAGAACCAUUAGUCGUGCUGCCUGGGCGAUUCUGAGAACUAUGGUCUGAACAAGUAACCCCUCUAACCUAUGUUCUGAAAACAUAUUGCAUAGAUAUGUCAUUCAAGAAUAAAAGCGAUAGCCUAUCUAUAUGAAUGACCUAAACCCCCAUUUAAUGAUUACUUGCACUAGAGGUCGUCAUUACUUCCUGUAUCUAUACAACUGGGUCUGAAUUAGUAUCAAUUAGAACAUGAUCCAUGAAAUCAAUAAGUAUUUGGUAAAUCAACAUAUAAUUUCUUUAUAUUCAGUUGGUCUCUACUAGUAGGAGUUAACAACUGAACUGAAGCAUACAAGUACUGUAUAUAUGUGGAGUGACUAUCAGUGUAGAUAUCACCUGCAGAAUCUUUUGAUGAAUCUGAAUAUUAUAAUACUCUUGAUAAAUUGAAAUCAGGAGGUGGUGCACAUUGCACAUUUGUAACUAAAGUCCAUGUUUCUAGGAAAUACCUCUGUUUGCUUUGCUUCCGUUUCUCUGCCUGGAUCUUGGCUGUGACUGCCUCAAUCCGCUGCUUACACUCUAGGUUCAAUUUCUGUUGCCUGAUACAGAAGACCACACAACGUUUCAAAAGAAGAUUUGUUCAUUAGUAAAAGGUAAUUAAUAGUCCCCCUCAACUAUGCAGUAUAUAUGAAUGUCGAGUUAUAAAUAUUUUAGAUUAAUUCAGUUUGGCAGCAGGACUGGUCCUGAAAUAAUGUCAGCCAGGUUUCCUUGUCUCCUGCAGCUCUGGUUGCAGCUCUGAGGCUUUGUAUAAAAAAAUAUACCGAUAUUCCUUGAUCACUUUCUCUUAAUCUUUUCUAUGUAGAUUUCCCUGUUCUAAAGGAUUCUCAGUAUUAAGAGAAGCAAAAUAACUUCGAAUCCAAGAAAAUAUUCAUGUGUGUUGAUCAUUUAGCAAAAUAGGCAUUGUGUGGAUUUUGUAUUUUGUUAUAUUUUGCUGAGCCCCCGGUGGCACCAUGGAUUAAGCUGCUGAGCUGCUGAACUUGCUGACCAAAAAGUUGGCAGUUCGAAUCUGGGAGUGAGCUCCUGCUGUUAGCCCCAGCUUCAGCCACUCUAGCAGUUGGAAAACAUGCAAAUGUGAAUAGAUCAGUAGGUACUGCUCUGGUGGGAAGAUAACGGCGCUACAUGCAAUCAUGCUUGUCACAUGACCUAGGAAGAAUCUACGGACAACGCUGGCACUUCAGCAUAGAAAUGGAGAUGAGCACCAACCCCCAGAAUCAAACACGACUAGACUUAAUGUCAGGGAAAAAUCUUUACCUUUAACGUAUGUUUUACUACAUGGCCAACAUAGCAAAUAUAUUUCAGACACUAUAACUGAAUAAACAUCAAAUACUGUACAGUGUGGUUUCUAGCUGUUUUUGAAAUAUUCCACUAUAUAUGAAAUAUAGUUUAUAAGUGGGUAGAAAAAUGCAUUUUAUCUAACCAAGUAUUUAGACCCUAAAUGUGAGAGGGACUUAAGUAGCAUUAUCAAUAAAUCAGUUAACAGACAAAUUUGGUGACAACUGCGAUAUUAAUUUUAGGUUUACUUUUCUGCAUUUGAUGUUAUUUCCUCCCAAAAUAUUGCAAAUUUCUAUUAAUCACAAUAUAUUUUUAAGAAUUCUUGAAAAUUUAAAACUUGUCAUGUAAAAUAUGGAAAUAAAAGACAAAAACACCCUCCAAUGAUUCACUUUUAACCAAAUGAACUACAAUACACACCACUGCCUUUUGAUCUCUGUCUCUUCACAGUGAAAUUGCAUGACUUUUCGGGUCUCUAGAAGGAACAACAGAAAAACACUGAAAUAUUGAAAGACAAUUAAAGAUUUGAAAGGGUGGUAUGUUUACAAAAAGAGUAUUGGCAAUGGAAUUCUAGGGAUAGCACAAGGGUGGUGGUGUUCUUCUUGUGGCUUCAAAAAAAAGACAAGGAUUACUCCCCUCUGAACAUCUAUCCUCUAGAUUACCCCUUCCAAAUGUCCCUGCCCAUAGUGGAGUACUCCUCGGUCCCUCUCACUCCGGGUUUUAUCUCUGUGUUCACGCGGCCUGCCCUUGCUUUAUUGUUUUUUGAUUUCUUGAUGUUCUGUUUCUUAUUAUUUAUUGUAUUUUAAAUGGUGCUAUGAUAUGUUGUUUUUAUAUUUUAUUAUGUUGUAUUGCUCUGGGCAUGGCCCCAUGUUAGCCGCCCCGAGUCCCCAUUGGGGAGAUGGUGGCGGGGUAUAAAUAAAGUUUUAUUAUUAUUAUUAUUAUUAUUAUUAUUAUUAUUAUUAUUAUUAUUAUUAUUAUUUCUUAACACUCCAGCACAAGGAUUGCAGAAUAGGGGAAUGCACAUCUGGGAAAUUUUCAAAAUAAAAUUGGAAAGGAGAUGUGCAAGAAAGAUGGCACAGGCAUGAAGGAGAGGGAGAAUUGUGUUGCUUUUCACUAACAAUGCAACGUACAAAACCCAGUAGGCAUCAACGGAGUGUUCUCAGGCUCACAUUUCAUUCCACAGUCAGAGUAAUAACUAUCCAUUAUCUGGAGGAAAUGUUUUGUAAUUUGCAGAUUCCAUAUUAAAUCCAAAAAGAAAACUGACCGUCCCUGUAAAAAAAUGAGAAAACCAACUGUCCCUGUAAAAAAUGUACAGCUCAAAAGUUAUGCUUUGGAUGUGUUCUGAAUGGAUUCUGCUGAAAUCUUGAAAUAAAUGUCCUCAGUCUUGCUGUUA